Long non-coding RNA from Oryzias melastigma (Indian medaka), 1938 nucleotides. RefSeq lists it as uncharacterized. The transcript has 3 exons. The record is from RefSeq and is a predicted model, not a curated record. NCBI's taxonomy places the organism in Eukaryota, Metazoa, Chordata, Actinopteri, Beloniformes, Adrianichthyidae.
ACGUAAUUACCCAGAGGGCCAGAUCUGGCCCCCGGGCCUUGACUUUGACACAUGUGGCUUAAAAUGUCACAGGUGUGAAGGAUGGGGGCGGGGCUUUUCUGCCUCAGCCAAUAACAAGUCAGAACCACCUGCAUUCUGACGUUUUCUUGUUUUCCACUUGCUUCAGGUCCAAAAAUAACCUUUAAGUCGCACCUAUGAAACGCUUUCAUUUCCUCUGGAGGUCCAAUAGAGCUGUGGAGGCUUGGCGGGCACGCGGCGGCGCUCGAACCAGCGACUCACCGUGUUCAGGACUCUGCUGAAGUACAUGAAGCUGACGGCGACCGCGAUGGUCUGCAGGAGGAUCGCAGCGAGGACGACGAGCCCCAGAGCCUGGACGGACAGAACCAUGGCCGAACCUCUGGAGAAGGAGGACGAGAAGAAGAAGAAGAAGUUCUUCGAGCAGGCAGGACGAGUUUGAUGGAGCUGUGCUGCGUCUGCCCUCAGGGAGGAGGAGGCUGCAGCCGCAGGAGGACGAGGAGGAGGAGCAGACGGGAGGUAUGAAGAAGCGCUUCCACUUCCUCAAGCGUUUAGGAGAAACGGGCGUGGAGCUUCAUGCCGGCUCAGCAGCUUCAGGGUGACUACAGUGUCGGUUGUUGAUAAGAACUCAUAUGACUGGAUUUUGGAGAAAACGAGUGCAUGAAAGCUCUAAAAUCUGAUGAAAACUGUCUUUCCUGUUAUCGUCGGUGGCCUGCAGUGAUGGUCCAGCUCUGUGUUGCUUUAAAUGAUUCCCCUCCUGUGCUCCCAGGCCUUGACCUCUGACCCCUGCUCCAUUGUCACUGACAGGAAGUAGCACACAGAUCCUGGAAGUGGCCCACCCUGCACUCACAAACAGUUAAAACGCUUCAAGUAAAAGAAGAAAAAUCCACCUUAACUGGAGCUUUACGUCCCGAUUUUCACAAUCCAUGAACUUUGGACACUUGGAAUGUUUUUCUUUCUACUUUAUCUUUAUUACUGGCUCUCCAGGCUCCCAGUUAUUUUAAAAGAACUUCCCAGCAGCCUCGAUUAGUCAUAACACUCCAGAAAAUUAGUUUGUCACUUUUUUUUUUUUUUUGACAGAAAGCUUCUUAAUGCUUCUGCUAGCAGGGGUUAAAGUUGCUAAAAAGGGCAGAAUGCUCUUUUAACGGAGCCAGUUCCCAGGGUUGUAGAAGGAAGGAAUGGAGAGGGUAAGCGAUACCCCGAGUCUGUCAGGCCUCGGGCAUGAAAGACGACACCCUGAGAGACAUACCUGUCUGUGCUCCCUGCAGGAAACAGUCAUUUUUCACCGCUCUCACGCCGCCUCUUCUGACCCAGUCAUCCUGCCACCUUUGACUUCACACUAUGUGCACUUUUUUAAGCAUAAAAAUCAGCAGUUUUUUUGUUUUUUGGGAGUUUUUCCAAUUUUGUUUUUCCCACUGAGGUCAAAGAGUUUUUUAAAUCAUUGCAGAGCUGCUCCUUUUCUGGAAAGGAAAAUAUUCUUCUUUUUUUUCCCUCUUUAGCUGAAUAGCUGAAUACUCGGCGGCGUCCACCCUCCUCACUCCCUUUCCCUCCCUGAGGGCUUCUCCUCUCAGAAUAAAUUCAUGUAAUCUCCCUAAAAUUCCCAGCUGAGUGCAACAGCUGCUCAUUGUCUUUUUUUUUUCUUCAUUUGAAAUAAACAGCGGUGUUGAGAAAUGCAGCACAAAGUGUGCCAGAAAUGGAGUUUAUUUGCUUCUUAAAGAGCACCUCUUGGGUGACAAUCCUCUGUUUGAACACACAGCACAGAGGAUUUAGAAACAAAUGAUGAAUUCAAAAUGAUGGUUUUGUUUGUUCCUUUUGAGAAGAACCAGGAAACAUUUCAUGACUUUCCACAAUUUCACUCAGGAAACGUAUCCAGGAAAACUGUUAAUAGUGUCAGGCUGUUGUUUUUAAUGGUCUAAAUUAUUC